Molecule: ribosomal RNA, 1023 nt
Filed under: Pseudarthrobacter oxydans
Lineage: Bacteria; Bacillati; Actinomycetota; Actinomycetes; Micrococcales; Micrococcaceae
Description: bacterial SSU rRNA
Rfam family: Bacterial small subunit ribosomal RNA
Source: RNAcentral
CAGUAGAGUUUGAUCAUGGCUCAGGAAGUCGUAACGAGGUAACGAGUAGAGUUUGAUACUGCCUCAAGACGGCCUGACAAGGUGACCAGUCACGCUGGGACUGAGACACGGCCCAGACUCCUACGGGAGGCAGCAGUGGGGAAUAUUGCACAAUGGGCGCAAGCCUGAUGCAGCGACACCGCGUGAGGGAUGACGGCCUUCGGGUUGUAAACCUCUUUCAGUAGGGAAGAAGCGAAAGUGACGGUACCUGCAGAAGAAGCGCCGGCUAACUACGUGCCAGCAGCCGCGGUAAUACGUAGGGCGCAAGCGUUAUCCGGAAUUAUUGGGCGUAAAGAGCUCGUAGGCGGUUUGUCGCGUCUGCCGUGAAAGUCCGGGGCUCAACUCCGGAUCUGCGGUGGGUACGGGCAGACUAGAGUGAUGUAGGGGAGACUGGAAUUCCUGGUGUAGCGGUGAAAUGCGCAGAUAUCAGGAGGAACACCGAUGGCUAAGGCAGGUCUCUGGGCAUUAACUGACGCUGAGGAGCGAAAGCAUGGGGAGCGAACAGGAUUAGAUACCCUGGUAGUCCAUGCCGUAAACGUUGGGCACUAGGUGUGGGGGGACAUUCCACGUUUUCCGCGCCGUAGCUAACGCAUUAAGUGCCCCGCCUGGGGAGUACGGCCGCAAGGCUAAAACUCAAAGGAAUUGACGGGGGCCCGCACAAGCGGCGGAGCAUGCGGAUUAAUUCGAUGCAACGCGAAGAACCUUACCAAGGCUUGACAUGAACCGGAAAUACCUGGAGACAGGUGCCCCGCUUGCGGUCGGUUUACAGGUGGUGCAUGGUUGUCGUCAGCUCGUGUCGUGAGAUGUUGGGUUAAGUCCCGCAACGAGCGCAACCCUCGUUCUAUGUUGCCAGCACGUGAUGGUGGGGACUCAUAGGAGACUGCCGGGGUCAACUCGGAGGAAGGUGGGGACGACGUCAAAUCAUCAUGCCCAUCAUGUCUUGGGCUUCACGCAUGCUACAAUGGCCGCUACAAAGGCAGUAGA